CUUUUCCGUUUUCUCUGAUCUCGGUGGCAGGGAUUUUCAGCAAAUGCCCUAACCCUCUCUGUAGGGGGCUCACGUUCACCAUUUCCAGGGUGAGUUCAUCUCUGUGUAACUCGUCCUUACCUGGAGUGACUGGGUGUGUGAUCUAUUCUCACCAUUCCUGGGGUGAUCUCAUCGAUGUGUGAUGCAUCUUCACCAUUCCUGGAGUAACCUCAUCCAUGUGAGAUACAUCCUUAUCAUUUCUGGGGUAACCUCAUCUAUAUGUGAUCUACCCUCCAUUCCUGGGGUGACCUCAUCUGUGUGGCACACAAUGUGAUUAUAAAAAGACAAAGAGGCAUGACUUCCUCACCUCAUCUAUGUGUGAUCCAUCCUUGACAUUCCUGGGGUGACUGGGUGUGUGAAGGUCUAACUCCACCUCCACCCCACCCCCACUCCAGACCUCUUGGACCAGCCAGCCAUAUUAUCAGGGGACGUAAUUAAUGACAUUUGACCUUGCAUCCCAGUUGGAAAGCAUUCAUGCCUUACCUUCAUCCUUCAUCAAACAGCUCAAGCCAGUUGCUACUAGAGUUGAGGGUCCCUAGGGUGGAGUAGACAUCGUUCUCUUUUUAUGCUUUUAAAUAUUGGUAAGUGCCCUGAACUAGUCUUAGGUCAACUUGACACAAGCUAGAGUCAUCUGAAAGGAGGGAAUUUCUAUUGAGGAAAUGCCUCCAUGAGAUCCAGCUAUAGGGGAUUUCCUUAGUUAGUGAUCAGUGGGGGAGGGCCCAGCCCACUGUGUUCUAACCCUGGGCUGAUGGUCCUGAGUUCUAUAAGAAAGCAAGGUGAGCAAGCCAUGAUGAGCAAGCCAGCAAGCAGCACCCCUCCAUGGCCUCUGCAUCAGCUCCUGCCUCUGGGUUCCUGCCCUGUUUGAGUUCCUGUCCUGACUUUCUUCGAUGAUGAACAGUGAUGUGGAAGAUUCUUCAGCCAGGAAAAAAUAGCAGCGAAGGAGAGAGAGAGAAAUCCUUCCCUGGUGAGCUGGAUUCCUUGAAGUUGCAGACUAUGAAAAGCGGGAUGCAGUUGUUCAAGAUGUGAACUCCCAGCAUCCUGGUCCAUAUGCCUGCCUGCUUGCUGUCUCUUCCGUGCCUUUAUGGGUGCUAACCCUCUGGGACCACAAGACAACAUAACAACAAGACCGUCUUCCUUAAGAUGCCUUGGUCAUGGUGUGUCUUAUCGCAGCGGCAGAAAAGUACUGAAUACAAGGGACAACCCGACUGUGUGUUUGCGCCAAGCGAUCUCGUAGACACGGGCCAGUCUAUGGACUAACUGCCCUUGUGCAUCUAUACCUAUCACUGUCAGAGCACAGAAGAACGAGCCGCGGUGAACAGUGAAUGUCUUGGGGAACUGUGGGAAAGGCUCCAGGAGAAAAGGCAGAGGGCCUUUUAUCUCAGGGGUGUCUUGUUUCCUGGAUUGUUCUUGGACGUGAUUUUGUGCUUCCUGUGUUAAACAUUGACGUUCAAGCCGUAAGGCAUGUUUAUUCUUGUUGGAUGUCUGGACAUAGCUAUAGAACCCAAUCUGGUCAGUGUACCCUGAAUGUGGAUGUGGCCUUCUGCCUUGCUUUUGUGCUUUCCCAGGUAGAGUCUACAGUACUUUCCAGGUAAUUGUGUUUAAACUGGUCUGACCUGAGAAAGUUCUGGGAAAGAGCUGCCCUGUUAAUAGUAUGAGCUUACUGGUGCUAAUUUGCAUAUUUUUCUGAUCACUUUUUUUUUUUUCAAAACUCAAACAGCCUUCCUUGGAUCAUUCCUUUCUUUGUUACAUUGUGUAUAAAAGGACACAGAAACUGAAGUAAGGUUGUCUACAGCAUCACACUCUAGUCCGCCCGUUCUUUCAGGUCUUCAGCGUCAGGUCCAGCAGACAAGAUCUGCACAGGUUGAUGCAAACUGACACAGGAUUACCUCUCUUCUGUUUAUUUUGGUUUUAUUGUUUGAGAUCCAGUCUCCCGUGGUCCAGGCUGGCCUUGAACUAGAUAUACAGCUAAGAUGAUCCUCCUGCCUCCACCUCCCAAGAGCUGGGAUUGCAGGUGUGCGCCUCUAUUCCUGGUUUAUGCAGCACUGGGGCGUCAAUCCAGGACAACAUGCUUGCUAGGCAACAUGCAUGCUAGGCAAGAACUAUACCGACUGAGCUACACCCCAGCCCUCUGUAUCCAUUUUUUUUAAAAAACCAUCUGGAGAAACAAGUUGGGGGAAUAAAUUACAUAGGAAUUUGG
This 2236-nucleotide long non-coding RNA is filed under the name Mus musculus (house mouse). RNAcentral's name for it is "elncRNA-EC42". Lineage: Eukaryota; Metazoa; Chordata; Mammalia; Rodentia; Muridae. The record is from RNAcentral.